UAAGAACCCAAAUAUCCUCGCAACGAAACCCACCAAACCCUUGGAAGUUUCAAUCGAACCUCAACCAACAGACUUUGAUUUCAGAAUCCACUUGCAGAACUGGAAUCAUGUAUGCUUCCAAUGAAGGUGAGGUUAGCAAGCAAUGAAGAUCAGGUGUGCUCUCUGAGUGGAACUGGGUUUUUCAGAGCUUUCAGCUGUAGCAUAGUCUUGGUAGCCCAGUUUUUCAUAUCCAUCACCCCUGCAGCCUCUUAUGCACGAACGAGACACUGAAAGCAUUUUUCAUCCGAAAACAACCCAGAAGUUCCUGAUAUCAGGCUUCAAUUUCAUGCAUAACAUAUAUACGAGAAAACGUUAUUUCUGAAUUUCCAUUGCAGCCAUCAUGAUUUUAGCCUUCUUACCAGUGAUAUUUCGGUGUUUGUUUAAGAUCUUGCAUGGUCUCUAAAACGGAGCAAAGCUGUGAACAUCAGCGAAAGAGAGGUGGGGGUGAUAGGAAAAGGACAAACCAAUGGUGUAAUAUAUGCAUUAAUAUAAGAUCAGAGAAACCGGCGGUUUCAAGACCUCGCAAGAAGGAGCUCAGGUGGUGAUGGGUCUAAUGUCUUUGUUGCUGGUCUUGUUAGAGAUCCUGUCAGUGGUAUUCUGCUGUGGCGAUUGUAUGAACAAAUAAAGGGAUUGUUAUGGCUUAUAGGGAUUAUCCUUAUUAAUUAUGCA
Long non-coding RNA from Populus euphratica (Euphrates poplar), 708 nucleotides. RefSeq lists it as uncharacterized. The record is from RefSeq and is a predicted model, not a curated record. NCBI's taxonomy places the organism in Eukaryota, Viridiplantae, Streptophyta, Magnoliopsida, Malpighiales, Salicaceae. The transcript is spliced from 3 exons.